UUCGGGGAGCCUAUACAGGUGUUGCAUGGCUGUCGUCAGCUCGUGUCGUGAGAUGUUCGGUUAAGUCCGCUAACGAGCGCAACCCUCGUCGUAUGUUAUAUGUGUCAUACGAGACUGGCCGGUAAAAGCCGGAGGAAGGUGAGGAUGAUGUCAAGUCAGCAUGACCUUUAUAUCCAGGGCUACACACACGCUACAAUGGUCUGUACAAUGGGUAGCCAAGCCGCGAGGCGGAGCCAAUCCUGAAAGCAGGCCUCAGUUCAGAUUGCAGUCUGCAACUCGACUGCAUGAAGCCGGAGUUGCUAGUAACCGCAGGUCAGCAAUACUGCGGUGAAUACGUUCCCGGGUCUU
This 348-nucleotide ribosomal RNA is filed under the name uncultured Anaerolineaceae bacterium. Its description in RNAcentral is "bacterial SSU rRNA". It matches the Rfam family "Bacterial small subunit ribosomal RNA", at positions 1020 to 1382 of the family's 1533-position model. Lineage: Bacteria; Bacillati; Chloroflexota; Anaerolineae; Anaerolineales; Anaerolineaceae. The record is from RNAcentral.